RNAcentral lists this long non-coding RNA (959 nucleotides) under Numida meleagris (helmeted guineafowl). RNAcentral describes it as "lncRNA (ENSNMEG00000019070.1)". Lineage: Eukaryota; Metazoa; Chordata; Aves; Galliformes; Numididae. The record is from RNAcentral.
CUAUCUAUCGCUCUGUCUCCAGGCGCCUGCUGUGUACAAAAUGGUAUUUUCCACUGAUCUGCAAUUCAGAGCUUCAUCCCUCAGUGACCACACACUGAUAGUGGUGAUGACCUGAAUGGUGACCAAGAGGGACAGACAGGCAUACUGCAGGACCAUUGCCUUUGGAGGAGCUAGAAAUAGGUUUUGAGUUCACCCUGGAAUUCAGAAGCAUUUUGGAAAAGGAUGUUGAUGUAGGACUGGCAAUAUUGUGGGGAUCUUUGCAACUGCGGUCAGCCACUUCUCCAGAACCUGCUGCAGAUGGACUGCUGACAAUCCUGAGUUAAGUGAGAGACAGCUGAAUCAUCUGUGCUCUGCAGAGUGGUUGAUAGGGCUAUGGAUAUAGACCUUGAAGUUAGACACAGUUCUGCCAGUCUUUCUAUGACGCGUAAGAGAAAAGGAGUUCGAGAACACAGGGGACAAGAGCACUGGAAGAAAUACAGCGUUUCUCUUGCUGCAGCUAGGAGGAAAACAGAAGGUUCCUGACCUAUGAUGUACCUAUUGCAAACUUCUGUGACCCUGACCCCUUCUCCGGACCCAAAGUGAUGUGGCAGGGGAUUGCUCUGGAGCUGCUCACUUGAACUAUGGAUAAGCUCAGACAACUGCAGUUUCUAGGCUGUAUGUCUGCAUGUUGUCAUAUCUGGGAGGGUACUGAAUUGCUCAUUUGCAGACACCUGCCUCCAUGUGUAUUCCAUUGCUGAUAGACCUCCAAAUUAAGAACCCUGUUCACAUGCACCAAACUAACUUUGUCUUCCCCAUAGUCCUCUUUUGAUCCUGCAGCCUGGAAAAGGUGUGGCUACUUUCACACCCCUGGGGCAAAGACAGCCCAAUGGAGGAGGAGGAGGACUUCACACCUUCAUUCCUGCCAGCCACAGCUGGUAGGAGGUACAUCUGGGACAGAAAAGCAGGGAGCUGUGAAGGGA